RNAcentral lists this ribosomal RNA (1004 nucleotides) under Haloarcula sp. MaC4. Its description in RNAcentral is "bacterial SSU rRNA". It matches the Rfam family "Archaeal small subunit ribosomal RNA", at positions 72 to 1073 of the family's 1478-position model. Lineage: Archaea; Methanobacteriati; Methanobacteriota; Halobacteria; Halobacteriales; Haloarculaceae. The record is from RNAcentral.
AGACUCGUGGCAUAUAGCUCAGUAACACGUGGCCAAACUACCCUACAGACCGCGAUAACCUCGGGAAACUGAGGCCAAUAGCGGAUAUCACUCUCAUGCUGGAGUGCCGAGAGUGAGAAACGUUCCGGCGCUGUAGGAUGUGGCUGCGGCCGAUUAGGUAGAUGGUGGGGUAACGGCCCACCAUGCCGAUAAUCGGUACAGGUUGUGAGAGCAAGAGCCUGGAGACGGUAUCUGAGACAAGAUACCGGGCCCUACGGGGCGCAGCAGGCGCGAAACCUUUACACUGCACGACAGUGCGAUAGGGGGACUCCGAGUGUGAGGGCAUAUAGCCCUCGCUUUUCUGAACCGUAAGGUGGUUCAGGAACAAGGACUGGGCAAGACCGGUGCCAGCCGCCGCGGUAAUACCGGCAGUCCGAGUGAUGGCCGAUAUUAUUGGGCCUAAAGCGUCCGUAGCUUGCUGUGUAAGUCCAUUGGGAAAUCGACCAGCUCAACUGGUCGGCGUCCGGUGGAAACUACACAGCUUGGGGCCGAAAGACUCGACGGGUACGUCCGGGGUAGGAGUGAAAUCCUGUAAUCCUGGACGGACCACCAAUGGGGAAACCACGUUGAGAGACCGGACCCGACAGUGAGGGACGAAAGCCAGGGUCUCGAACCGGAUUAGAUACCCGGGUAGUCCUGGCUGUAAACAAUGCUCGCUAGGUAUGUCACGCGCCAUGAGCACGUGAUGUGCCGUAGUGAAGACGAUAAGCGAGCCGCCUGGGAAGUACGUCCGCAAGGAUGAAACUUAAAGGAAUUGGCGGGGGAGCACCACAACCGGAGGAGCCUGCGGUUUAAUUGGACUCAACGCCGGACAUCUCACCGGUCCCGACAGUAGUAAUGACGGUCAAGUUGACGACUUUACUCGACGCUACUGAGAGGAGGUGCAUGGCCGCCGUCAGCUCGUACCGUGAGGCGUCCUGUUAAGUCAGGCAACGAGCGAGACCCACACUUCUAGUUGCCAGCAA